Molecule: transfer RNA, 67 nt
Filed under: Leontopithecus chrysopygus (golden-rumped lion tamarin)
Lineage: Eukaryota; Metazoa; Chordata; Mammalia; Primates; Cebidae
Description: tRNA-Gly
Source: RNAcentral
ACUCUCUUAGUAUAAAAAGUAUUAUUGACUUCCAAUCAACGGGUCUCGAAUGAUUCGAGAGAGAGUA